UACAAGCACCCCGAGUGGUCGGGACGAUUAUUGGGCCUAAAGCAUCCGUAGGCGGUUCUGCAAGUCCCCCGUUAAAUCCAGCUGCUCAACAGAUGGGCCGCGGAGGAUACUACAGAGCUAGGAGGCAGGAGAGGCAAGCGGUACUCAGUGGGUAGGGGUAAAAUCCGUUGAUCCAUUGAAGACCACCAGUGGCGAAGGCGGCUUGCCAGAAUGCGCUCGACGGUGAGGGAUGAAAGCUGGGGGAGCAAACCGG
RNAcentral lists this ribosomal RNA (253 nucleotides) under uncultured bacterium. RNAcentral's name for it is "partial 16S ribosomal RNA". It matches the Rfam family "Archaeal small subunit ribosomal RNA", at positions 474 to 727 of the family's 1478-position model. The record is from RNAcentral.